Molecule: unclassified non-coding RNA, 579 nt
Filed under: Hevea brasiliensis (rubber tree)
Lineage: Eukaryota; Viridiplantae; Streptophyta; Magnoliopsida; Malpighiales; Euphorbiaceae
Source: RNAcentral
AAAAAAAAAAAAAAAAAGAGGUUUCAAAGGAGUUUUGGCAAGUAUGUAGUAUUUAUUUGGAACAAGUAGUAUUUAUUUGGAAGAAAAAUAAAAUAAUAUAUAAACAGUUAAUAAGAUGAAAGUAUUUUUAUUAUUUUAAAUUUUAAAAAUUCAAUUUAUUUUUAUUGGAGUAGUUUUCAAUUUCAUGGCUGCGAGGUCCGCUAUAAAAUGAAAUAAUUUUUUUUAAAAUUUACAAUAUUAUUUUUAAAAUCUCUCUCUCUUUGCUUUGAACAAAUUAUUACCCAACUAAUUAAAAUGACUAAAGAAGGAUACCAGUACAAAUCUUCUCUGAUAAUCUUGCUGCCUAGUGCCUGGUUCCUCAAGUAGGAAUGUUUAGCUUCCCAAAUUAUGCACCGGUCUUUCCUCUAAUUCUAGCUUAUAGCUGUAUGCUGGUAUAGAUAUGCAUUUGGCAGAGAUGGUUCAAGAUGUGGAGGUGAAAGAUAAACAAACUCAUUGGCAUUUUGUUUCCUCAGCUGUUCCUUCAACUCUACACCUUAAGUGUCAAAAAGAGUAUCAGUUCAAUUUUUACGGAGCUUCUAA